Molecule: ribosomal RNA, 420 nt
Filed under: Fusobacteriota bacterium
Lineage: Bacteria; Fusobacteriati; Fusobacteriota
Description: Fusobacteria bacterium partial 16S ribosomal RNA
Rfam family: Bacterial small subunit ribosomal RNA
Source: RNAcentral
UGGGGGAUAUUGCACAAUGGGCGAAAGCCUGAUGCAGCGACGCCGCGUGGGGGAUGAAGGCCUUCGGGUUGUAAACUUCUUUUGCUCUGAACAAGGCAUGCCUUUGGGGUGUGUUGAGUGUAGGGGUUGAUUAGCGCCGGCUAACUACGUGCCAGCAGCCGCGGUAAUACGUAGGGCGCGAGCGUUGUCCGGAAUUAUUGGGCGUAAAGGGCUUGUAGGUGGCUGGUUGCGUCUGUCGUGAAAGCUCAUGGCUUAACUGUGGGGUUGCGGUGGGUACGGGCGGGCUUGAGUGCAGUAGGGGAGGCUGGAAUUCCUGGUGUAGCGGUGGAAUGCGCAGAUAUCAGGAGGAAUACCGGUGGCGAAGGCGGGUCUCUGGGCUGUUACUGACGCUGAGGAGCGAAAGCGUGGGGAGCGAACAGG